GGGGCUGAUUUGGCGUUCGACGGGAAUAGGCGGUUAAAAAUUGCAUAUCAGUUUGAUAACACUGUAAAAAUAUCAUUAAAUUUAAAUGCAAACAAAAAUCAAUUAGCUCCAGCUUAUGCGAGAGCUGCGUAAGUUUAAUUUAAACUUUUCGGAGCAGGAUUUUUAAAUUUUCUAGUGGUUUAUUAAAUCCUUAACUUAACUAGAUAUAUUUAUCUCAAGUAUUUAGAGUGUGAUAAAUUAUUUUUUUUCUAAAUUGCUUAUAUGUUAAUUUAGAAUUUUAUUGGCAUAUAAAAAGAUUUUUAAAAUUCUUUCUUUAAGUAUGUAGAGGUUUUUAAUUUAUUAUUUUCGGACUGGGGUUCAAUUCCCCACAGCUCCACCA
This 379-nucleotide transfer-messenger RNA is filed under the name Helicobacter sp. MIT 14-3879. It matches the Rfam family "transfer-messenger RNA". From Rfam's summary of the family: Bacterial tmRNA, also known as 10Sa RNA or SsrA, is named for its dual tRNA and mRNA-like properties. Its role is to liberate the mRNA from a stalled ribosome. The record is from Rfam by way of RNAcentral. Lineage: Bacteria; Pseudomonadati; Campylobacterota; Epsilonproteobacteria; Campylobacterales; Helicobacteraceae.